UCGUAAAACGGAGGUGCCGGGGCUGUCGCCGACUUUGUGCACGCCCCGGUGCUCUCUCACAAUCCAUCUCACCCCCUUUGUGCAUCACCGCGUGGGUGCUCUCCUUUUGGUCCGUUCCAAAAGGGGGCAUUUGCGUUUUUACAUAGACACCCUUUGAAUGCAUGUGUAGAACGUCUUACUUUUUGCGAUCACACGCAAUCAAUA
This 204-nucleotide unclassified non-coding RNA is filed under the name uncultured Russulaceae. Its description in RNAcentral is "sequence contains ITS1". Lineage: Eukaryota; Fungi; Basidiomycota; Agaricomycetes; Russulales; Russulaceae. The record is from RNAcentral.